GUUUUCCUUAGUUUAGUGUUGCCUGUGUUGUGGCCGAAAGUAGUGUUGUAGAUUUUACUGCGCUGUGCCCGUAAUCAUUGAGUGACCGCCCUGUGCGUGUGUUGCCGCGUCAGGAAAGGAGUGUUGCGUGUCCAGGAGGGUCUUCCCCUUCCGAGUGGCGUCCGCGCCUGCUUCCUUCGUCAGGCACCUCCCUCCUCGCGCCUUCCUUCCUCCCGUCUCCUGGAGUGUACACACCUGCACUCUUGAGGCUGCUGGCGAGAGGAACUGUCGUUCCAAGCCCUCCACCAUGGCCGCCGCUCCGAAAGUUUGCGUCCGUCGCGCGAAGCUCAUCUUCCUGAUGGAGAACGCAGGCAAGGACGUCUUGACCUUCGUGUUGAAGCGCGGCGCGCUGAACGCCCCCGCCACGCCGCCGGGCCAGUCCCUCAUUGACUACCUUGACAACCUCCCUCAAGGCUCGACAGCCAACUAUGGCACGAUGAGUAACAAACAAAAGAAAGCAGCACUGAACCACAGUUCAGUGCUGCUUAUCCUCUGACGUGACUACUUUAUUCAUUAUUUUUUGUAU
Long non-coding RNA from Scylla paramamosain (green mud crab), 565 nucleotides. RefSeq lists it as uncharacterized. The transcript has 4 exons. Lineage: Eukaryota; Metazoa; Arthropoda; Malacostraca; Decapoda; Portunidae. The record is from RefSeq and is a predicted model, not a curated record.